GAAAUGCGAUAAGUAGUGUGAAUUGCAGAAUUCAGUGAAUCAUCGAAUCUUUGAACGCACAUUGCGCCCUUUGGUAUUCCAAAGGGCAUGCCUGUUCGAGCGUCAUUUGUACCCUCAAGCUCUGCUUGGUGUUGGGCGUCUUGUCUCUAGCUUUGCUGGAGACUCGCCUUAAAGUAAUUGGCAGCCGGCCUACUGGUUUCGGAGCGCAGCACAAGUCGCACUCUCUAUCAGCAAAGGUCUAGCAUCCAUUAAGCCUUUUUUUCAACUUUUGACCUCGGAUCAGGUAGGGAUACCCGCUGAACUUAAGC
This 308-nucleotide unclassified non-coding RNA is filed under the name plant metagenome. RNAcentral describes it as "partial contains 5.8S ribosomal RNA, internal transcribed spacer 2, and large subunit ribosomal RNA". The stretch from base 1 to 105 matches the Rfam family "5.8S ribosomal RNA", at positions 50 to 154 of the family's 154-position model. The record is from RNAcentral.